UACGAAGGGGGCUAGCGUUGCUCGGAAUCACUGGGCGUAAAGCGCACGUAGGCGGGUUGCUAAGUCAGGGGUGAAAUCCUGGAGCUCAACUCCAGAACUGCCUUUGAUACUGGCGGCCUCGAGUCCGGGAGAGGUGAGUGGAACUGCGAGUGUAGAGGUGAAAUUCGUAGAUAUUCGCAAGAACACCAGUGGCGAAGGCGGCUCACUGGCCCGGUACUGACGCUGAGGUGCGAAAGCGUGGGGAGCAAACGGG
This 253-nucleotide ribosomal RNA is filed under the name uncultured bacterium. RNAcentral describes it as "partial 16S ribosomal RNA". It matches the Rfam family "Bacterial small subunit ribosomal RNA", at positions 524 to 776 of the family's 1533-position model. The record is from RNAcentral.